GUGACAGAGAACAAUGGUUCGAGAACUGUAGUUCCCGUGUUUUUGAAGGCUCGAUGUGGGCAUGGUAUAUAUAACUCAGUAUGGGAUUCUCAUGCUUUACAGGCAUAUAUGUAUCUGGGUGAUGUUGUGCAGCAAGUGACAGUGUCUAGGAAACAUCCCCAGAACAUCACAAAAAUAUCUGCGCUCCUGAUUUGGGGAGAGGAUGUGCUGCAUGGCCCAGAGGAAGCUCACGAGCAUCUCUCACCUGAGGAACCAGCCACCAAAUUUGUCGACAGUUUACAUGGUACACAGGAGGCAACUCUGCCCUGGGCAGGCCAGGAAAGAUGCUGGGCUCCACAGCUUCCUUUUCUGUUGACUGGCAAGAUGGUGCUUUGUCAGGUUAAUGAAAAUAUGGAACGCGUACUCUAAAGAGAGCUGGAAAGCAACGUGAAGUCCAGACUGGUAAGUGAAACAAGCAAACUUGAUAAGGUUUGUCCUUCCGUACAUAGAGCACUGCAGACUUUAUCCCCAGAAUAUCUUAAAGAAGAUAGGGUAGAAAGUAUUUAACAAAUAGUGUGCUGUCAUUUGAAAAACAAAACCAGAUGGUGGUGUUAAUGUAUCCAGUGACUUAAAUAUAAUGCCAUGUGUCUGCAGGAAAACAAUAACCCCCACACAGCACAAUCCUGCAAACCUGAAGUAAAAUUCACCAAGGAGUUGUCUUAUGAAUGAGAGGAAAGAAACAGCACCCCGUGGCCUCACUCCUCAGGACGAGUAUUGGAGGUGAGCAUUGGAUGGUAACCAUCAGCAUUACCAACCUCACGCAGGUUGGGGAGGAGGAGCAGGUUUUCCUCUCCUAUAGCGAGCAAAGGGGUCCUCCAGGCUCUCUGUAGCCACCACCUCGAACCCCAAGUUGCAGAGCCUCUGUCUGCAUGCACACCUUUGUUUUAUUUAGCCACCCAUCUGCCUUUUUCUCUUCAAAGGCCCUGCACCUACUGCUGCAGCUGAGCUGCAUCCCCCAGCUUCUGGAGGAUUUGGAGCACAUGCAGGACACCUCUACGCUUGACCUCAGUACGUGAACAUGCAGGAGGAAUUUCCCCUCCACAUUUAUUAUCCCUGGUACCACAGUCAACAGUUGGCUGGGUAACUGAGUAAAUUUACUUGAACUCUUUAUUUCCCAGGUCUUAUUUUUCUAAGGAAGGCAAUAAAUCAAUGACAGGAAAAGUACUCACCAGGCAGAAAUUGGGUAGCUCCAUGACUUAAUCAGCACUGAUUAAUGCCGGUCGGGAAUCUAUCUCUGCAUUUCUUUGGAAUACAUUUUGGAAAGUCUACUAGUUCCUAACAGAGUUUCGCAUGAAAAAUUAAAUUACUUUCAUAUUCCUGCCUCUCCUUCACUAGUAAGUUCCUUGAGGCUCACUCCACCUUCCCGUGCAGGCACUACAAGGCUCCCUUGAGA
This 1432-nucleotide long non-coding RNA is filed under the name Cairina moschata (Muscovy duck). RNAcentral describes it as "domestica (muscovy Duck (domestic type)) lncRNA (ENSCMMG00000015325.1)". The record is from RNAcentral. Lineage: Eukaryota; Metazoa; Chordata; Aves; Anseriformes; Anatidae.